CUGGGAGUGGACAGGGAUCCGGCACAGCUCGGCCUCUCUCUCCAUGUUUUUUUUCUGAUCGCAGAGUUCCGCCAAUUGCGGUGCAAUUUGUUUUUGUUUUGGUUCCUGCGGCUGGAGCAAGAAGUCCUCGUUUUUUUCCUUGUUGCGAUGCUAGUGGUGCUGGCGGCCAAGAGCUGGGCUGUGUAGCUUGUGGGUUCGAUUGGCAAGGUGCCGCAAGCUGAUGUUUUGUUCUUCUACAAUGACUCCCAUUUUGGCUGUAGUGGACAGUGCUAAGAUCGGUUGCAGAUCCACCUUCUUCGUCGGCGGCGCAACUUUAAAGAAGGUGGCAAUGUCGUGUGGAUAAUACUACCUCUCCCUUCUCGACGUUGGACUUCGGCGACGCACGAGUGAACUAAUCGGAUGUUGCGGCUGGAAUAUCGUGGUGGUGCGGCUGCUUGUUUUCUUUUCCUUUCAACAUUGUUGGCUCUUUUCCCCGUUGGUGGCGGUAUUGGUUAACAACUCCUACCCGAUUCUCGUUUUGUAGUUUCAUUCCCAUUUUUAUUUUUCAUUUCUGCUCUGUUCCUCUCUCCUUUGUUGUUCGGAAGUGGCGUGCAACGACGUUGUUCAUGUUGCCCUUCGUUUCCCCUAGUCACAUCAUUGUGGGCGGAGAGGUUGGCACUACGGCCGACAUUGUUUAGAUUGCUUCCUUCCUCGUGGAUCAGGGAAAACAGCGGCGGUACUUCUUGGAUUUAGAUUCCUGAUUUAGGGAGGUUCGAAUUAUGAUGGUGGAGGAACUUGUGGUUCUUGUCUUUGGACAAAAUCUCCUUGCUAUAGUUUCCCACGGUCUUGUGGUGAUUGGAGCUGCAGCAUGUCGAGAGUCAAUUCACCUUGUUGCUGGGCUGCGAUGCUGUGGCGAAGUUUUGGCCAUCUACUGGUUGCAUUUAGUUUUGUUGCCGCUCAUUUCCUCGAAGAUUUAGUUCAGUGGCGUUGUGGCAGUUCCUACGUGCAGAGAGCUGCUGGAUUUGUGUGAGGUGUGCAAGGCUUUGUGCAGUGCUCUUGUCAACAGCCUUGUUGAGAGUGGCAGCCGCGGGUUGCAUCUUCCGUCAUCAACAUUCCUUGUGGCCCCGCUUUAGCAAUUCCAAACGCUCAUCAAUAGCUUCCAAGCACAGGUCAUCAUCUUCGCUCAGAGAGGCUCACGUUGUAUUCGGAGCGGCUGUUGGAAUCUCAUUGUCAACGUCGUCGUUGGGUAAAGCAGUAACAAUGUUACUCGGCAUUCGGCGGCUUAUGUUCAUUUAGGCAAUUAAGUUGGUGUUUCAUCCUUUCUAGAUGUCGCAAUCUGCGGUAGUGAUUGACGACUUUAGUGUGCUUGGGUUGUCUAUCAUCGAUGCUGCGAAGCUCAAAUGCUAUGCAUAUCAUUUCCAAUCAAUACCAAUCAACAUCGAGAAUUAGGCAAGAUCUACCAAGAUUAUAUUGUUGAAAUUUUAGUUUGAAUAAAAUUAUAUCAGGAUGAAUUUGGGUCAA
Molecule: non-coding RNA, 1500 nt
Organism: Physcomitrium patens
Lineage: Eukaryota; Viridiplantae; Streptophyta; Bryopsida; Funariales; Funariaceae
Source: RefSeq, a predicted model, not a curated record